GAUGAACGCUGGCGGCGUGCCUAAUACAUGCAAGUCGAGCGAACAGACGAGGAGCUUGCUCCUCUGACGUUAGCGGCGGACGGGUGAGUAACACGUGGAUAACCUACCUAUAAGACUGGGAUAACUUCGGGAAACCGGAGCUAAUACCGGAUAAUAUAUUGAACCGCAUGGUUCAAUAGUGAAAGACGGUUUUGCUGUCACUUAUAGAUGGAUCCGCGCCGCAUUAGCUAGUUGGUAGGUAACGGCUUACCAAGGCAACGAUGCGUAGCCGACCUGAGAGGGUGAUCGGCCACACUGGAACUGAGACACGGUCCAGACUCCUACGGGAGGCAGCAGUAGGGAAUCUUCCGCAAUGGGCGAAAGCCUGACGGAGCAACGCCGCGUGAGUGAUGAAGGUCUUCGGAUCGUAAAACUCUGUUAUUAGGGAAGAACAAAUGUGUAAGUAACUAUGCACGUCUUGACGGUACCUAAUCAGAAAGCCACGGCUAACUACGUGC
This 497-nucleotide ribosomal RNA is filed under the name uncultured bacterium. Its description in RNAcentral is "partial 16S ribosomal RNA". It matches the Rfam family "Bacterial small subunit ribosomal RNA", at positions 28 to 508 of the family's 1533-position model. The record is from RNAcentral.